AUCCAGUUGGCGAGUCCCGAAUAGGACGAAACGCGCGCCAUGGAU
Schistosoma mattheei is the source of this 45-nucleotide non-coding RNA. Lineage: Eukaryota; Metazoa; Platyhelminthes; Trematoda; Strigeidida; Schistosomatidae. The record is from Rfam.